GACGAACGCUGGCGGCGUGCCUAAUACAUGCAAGUAGAACGCUGAAGAGAGGAGCUUGCUCUUCUUGGAUGAGUUGCGAACGGGUGAGUAACGCGUAGGUAACCUGCCUGGUAGCGGGGGAUAACUAUUGGAAACGAUAGCUAAUACCGCAUAAUAGUAGAUGUUGCAUGACAUUUGCUUAAAAGGUGCAAUUGCAUCACUACCAGAUGGACCUGCGUUGUAUUAGCUAGUUGGUGAGGUAACGGCUCACCAAGGCAACGAUACAUAGCCGACCUGAGAGGGUGAUCGGCCACACUGGGACUGAGACACGGCCCAGACUCCUACGGGAGGCAGCAGUAGGGAAUCUUCGGCAAUGGACGGAAGUCUGACCGAGCAACGCCGCGUGAGUGAAGAAGGUUUUCGGAUCGUAAAGCUCUGUUGUAAGAGAAGAACGAUGUGUGAUGAUGUGGAAAGUUCACACUGUGAC
RNAcentral lists this ribosomal RNA (466 nucleotides) under Streptococcus sp. oral taxon 064. Its description in RNAcentral is "bacterial SSU rRNA". It matches the Rfam family "Bacterial small subunit ribosomal RNA", at positions 28 to 473 of the family's 1533-position model. Lineage: Bacteria; Bacillati; Bacillota; Bacilli; Lactobacillales; Streptococcaceae. The record is from RNAcentral.